AGCCGUCCUUGAAAUACCACCCUUGUAUGUUUGAUGUUCUAACGUUGGCCCCUAAUCGGGGUUGCGGACAGUGCCUGGUGGGUAGUUUGACUGGGGCGGUCUCCUCCCAAAGAGUAACGGAGGAGCACGAAGGUGGGCUAAUCACGGUUGGACAUCGUGAGGUUAGUGCAAUGGCAUAAGCCCGCUUAACUGCGAGAAUGACGGUUCGAGCAGGUGCGAAAGCAGGUCAUAGUGAUCCGGUGGUUCUGAAUGGAAGGGCCAUCGCUCAACGGAUAAAAGGUACUCCGGGGAUAACAGGCUGAUACCGCCCAAGAGUUCAUAUCGACGGCGGUGUUUGGCACCUCGAUGUCGGCUCAUCACAUCCUGGGGCUGAAGUCGGUCCCAAGGGUAUGGCUGUUCGCCAUUUAAAGUGGUACGCGAGCUGGGUUUAGAACGUCGUGAGACAGUUCGGUCCCUAUCUGCCGUGGGCGUUGGAAGAUUGAAGGGGGCUGCUCCUAGUACGAGAGGACCGGAGUGGACGAACCUCUGGUGUUCGGGUUGUGUCGCCAGACGCAUUGCCCGGUAGCUAAGUUCGGAAUCGAUAACCGCUGAAAGCAUCUAAGCGGGAAGCGAGCCCUGAGAUGAGUCUU
This 629-nucleotide ribosomal RNA is filed under the name Vibrio vulnificus. RNAcentral's name for it is "partial 23S ribosomal RNA". It matches the Rfam family "Bacterial large subunit ribosomal RNA", at positions 2184 to 2812 of the family's 2925-position model. The record is from RNAcentral. Lineage: Bacteria; Pseudomonadati; Pseudomonadota; Gammaproteobacteria; Vibrionales; Vibrionaceae.